GGUGGUGCGAUGGUUUCGCGCAGACUGUAAAUCUGCCGGCUCAGCCUUCCCAGGUUCGAAUCCUGGCGCCGCCA
This 74-nucleotide transfer RNA is filed under the name Streptomyces sp. CAI-17. Its description in RNAcentral is "tRNA-OTHER". The record is from RNAcentral. Lineage: Bacteria; Bacillati; Actinomycetota; Actinomycetes; Kitasatosporales; Streptomycetaceae.